UCCGGAUGAACCUCUUAGAUGACGAGUCCGACGUCGCUAAAGCGCAGUCGGUCAUCGACUGCGCUGACGUUUGAAGACACUCUUAUAAAUACCAUUCAUGCUUUUCUGAUC
Molecule: small nucleolar RNA, 111 nt
Filed under: Calocera viscosa TUFC12733
Lineage: Eukaryota; Fungi; Basidiomycota; Dacrymycetes; Dacrymycetales; Dacrymycetaceae
Source: RNAcentral